GUGGUUAGUUACCUAUGAACAAGGUGGUGUGGUUAGUUACCUAUGAAUAAGGUAGUGGUGGUGUGGUUAGUUACCUAUGAACAAGGUAGUGGUGGUGUGGUUAGUUACCUAUGAAUAAGGUAGUGGUGGUGUGGUUAGUUACCUACGAACAAGGUAGUGGUGGUGUGGUUAGUUACCUAUGAACAAGGUAGUGGUGGUGUGGUUAGUUACCUAUGAAUAAGGUAGUGGUGGUGUGGUUAGUUACCUAUGAAUAAGGUAGUGGUGGUGUGGUUAGUUACCUAUGAACAAGGUGGUGUGGUUAGUUACCUAUGAAUAAGGUAGUGGUGGUGUGGUUAGUUACCUAUGAACAAGGUAGUGGUGGUGUGAUUAGUUACCUAUUAGAAGGUGGUAGUGUGGUUAGUUACCUCUGAAUAAGGUAGUGGUGGUGUGGUUAGUAACCUAUGAACAAUAUAGUGGUGGUGUGGUUAGUUACCUAUGAAGAAGGUAGUGGUGGUGUGAUUAGUUACCUAUUAGAAGGUGGUGGUGUGGUUAGUUACCUAUGAAUAAGGUGGUGGUGGUGUGGAUAGUUACCUACGAACAAGGCGGUGGCGGUGUGGUUAGUUAGCUAUGAACAAGGUAGUGGUGGUGUGGUUAGUUACCUAUGAAGAAGGUAGUGGUGGUGUGAUUAGUUACCUAUUAACAAGGUGGUGGUGUGGUUUGUUACCUAUGAACAAGGUAGUGGUGGUCUGGUUAGUUACCUAUGAAUAAGGCAGUGGUGGUGUGGAUAGUUACCUACGAACAAGGCAGUGGUGGUGUGGUUAGUUACCUACGAACAAGGUAGUGGUGG
This 826-nucleotide long non-coding RNA is filed under the name Salmo salar (Atlantic salmon). Its description in RNAcentral is "lncRNA (ENSSSAG00000107010.1)". Lineage: Eukaryota; Metazoa; Chordata; Actinopteri; Salmoniformes; Salmonidae. The record is from RNAcentral.